CAGUCGCCACGGUAAUACAAAGGGUGCAAGCGUUACUCGGAAUUACUGGGCGUAAAGCGUGCGUAGGUGGUGGUUUAAGUCCGUUGUGAAAGCCCUGGGCUCAACCUGGGAAUUGCAGUGGAUACUGGGUCACUAGAGUGUGGUAGAGGAUAGUGGAAUUUCCGGUGUAGCAGUGAAAUGCGUAGAGAUCGGAAGGAACAUCUGUGGCGAAGGCGACUAUCUGGGCCAACACUGACACUGAGGCACGAAAGCGUGGGGAGCAAACAGGAUUAGAUACCCCGGUAGUCCCUGUCUCUUAUAC
RNAcentral lists this ribosomal RNA (301 nucleotides) under uncultured bacterium. RNAcentral describes it as "partial 16S ribosomal RNA". It matches the Rfam family "Bacterial small subunit ribosomal RNA", at positions 509 to 807 of the family's 1533-position model. The record is from RNAcentral.